This 301-nucleotide ribosomal RNA is filed under the name uncultured bacterium. RNAcentral's name for it is "partial 16S ribosomal RNA". It matches the Rfam family "Bacterial small subunit ribosomal RNA", at positions 509 to 809 of the family's 1533-position model. The record is from RNAcentral.
CAGUAGCCGCGGUAAUACGUAGGUGGCAAGCGUUGUCCGGAUUUAUUGGGCGUGAAGCGAGCGCAGGCGGUCAAUUAAGUCUGAUGUGAAAGCCCCCGGCUCAACCGGGGAGGGUCAUUGGAAACUGGGAAACUUGAGUGCAGAAGAGGAGAGUGGAAUUCCACGUGUAGCGGUGAAAUGCGUAGAGAUGUGGAGGAACACCAGUGGCGAAGGCGACUCUCUGGUCUGUAACUGACGCUGAGGAGCGAAAGCGUGGGGAGCGAACAGGAUUAGAUACCCGUGUAGUCCCUGUCUCUUAUAA